ACUACACUUAUUAAAAAUCAAGAUCAUCAACAACGGAGAGAGAGAGAGAGAGAGAAAGAGAGAGAGAGACGCGGCAACAACCACCCAACAUCCCAACACUUGGCAACACCGGACAGGUAACACAGCCCACGCCGCACACCUGAGAUUCAAAACAGCAUGAGUGUCAGCAAUGCCACCCUACAAUAACACUCUGCCUGCUUUCAACAACCAGUUUGGAAUCAAGCCAGAGUUCUACAACUACACUCCCUUCUAUAUUGGCAUCACCUUCUGCACUAUUCUGGGCAUCAUUCUGAUUAUGGUCAACUGGAUCUGCAGCUGCUGCCACGAACACUCUAAGUACUGGAACGACCCUGACACAGGCAACCGUUUUGCUUCCCUCAUUUUUGUGCGCAAGGCCAAGCAGCGCCCCCUUGAUGCCCUCUACUAGUCACCAGCACCUUCCAGCUCCUCACUCCCCACUGCUGCACAUCUCUUGUCCUCUGCUCAGUUGAAAACAGUCCGCAGCCAUGGGCGUGCACACAGCCUGGCCACCGCUUGCCUGCCUGGCCAUGUUUGUCAUCAUCAUAGCGUUCAUCAUUGUCAAAUACGGCGACACUCUCUUCGGUGCCCGGUCGGUGCCUCUGUCUCGUGGUGCCUUUGAGGAUGGGGACCAGACCUCUGUCAACACUGUGUCGUGCCUGUAUGACGAGAGGGAGAGUGUGAGGGACUAUGAGAAGGAAAGUAUCAGGGAGUACGUGGAGGUGGUGGAGAUGCCAGACAUAUCUCCCGGCCCACAGAAGAAGUAUGAGUAUGCUGUGUGAAGGAUGGGAUGUCUUGCCUCUUGUUUUCUUUGCUAUUGAAGAGAACAGUUUUUUUUUAAUGUUUUAGUCUAUCUGUCCAAUGAGAUGUGUUCUUUUUUCCUUAUGAAGAGAUAUUUUUGGCUUUAUCUCUCUAAGGAAAGGAGACUAGAUACAUUAUUUUUUCUCUUUUCCUUUUUUUUUUUAAGGAUGGAAGGAAGGGAGGAAGAGUAAAUUUAUUGAUUUUCUCCAUGCAAUGAAAGGAGACUUAAGUAUAUUUAUUUUUUUCUCUCUUUCCAUUUUUGUAAGGAAGGAAAGAAGGAAGUAAAUUUCUCGAUUUCUCAGUUGUCACUCAUGUUAAUGCUACAAAUCAGGCAGUAUUUUUGUAAGGAAGGAAGGAAGGGACAGUAGUUUUUUUGUUCACUCAGUUGUCACUCAUGUUAAUGCCACAGAUCAGGCAGUAGUUUUGUAAGGAAAGGACAGUAAUUUUCUUGGUUCACUCAGUUGUCACUCAUGUUAAUGCUACAGAUCAGGCAGUAGUUUUGUAAGGAAGGAAGGAAGGGACAGUAAUUUUCUUGGUUCACUCAGUUGUCACUCAUGUUAAUGCUACAGAUCAGGCAGUAGUUUUGUAAGGAAGGAAGGAAGGGACAGUAAUUUUCUUGGUUCACUCAGUUGUCACUCAUGUUAACGCUACCAAUUAAGCAGUAGGUGCAGUAUUGUAUUGAUACCACCACUCAUGACCCUUGUGGCCAGAGUGUUGUCCUGUAAUCAGUAUUCAUUCAGACACCCCUUGCCAUGCAGGUACUGGAAGUAAACACCAUUGUCACAGGAGAGGUGUGGAAACAUUACUCAUGAAUUGAAAGAAUAGGAUGUAGUAUGAAGAUAGGACAUGACAAGCUUGCCUUAGUCAUACAGGAAUGCAAAUGUAAAUAGAAGUAGGUAAAUCUGGUAUGAAAACAACAAUGUCAAAAAGCUCUGGGAAAUUAGUCUUGAUAAAUUUAGUACUCCAUCACUUUAGCAUUGUUUAAUUGGAGGUGAAUGUUUCUCUUUCUUUAGUUCUUUUACUCUAAGAAGCUUUGCCAUUCCAUCAAAAGGAUGGUCUACAACAUGACUAUACUUUGUCAUCUUAGUAUAGUUCAGAAACUAUUUUUUUAUUAUUGAUUAAUUUUUUGUCUUCGUAAAUAGAUGUACAUAUUUAUUUAUUUAUUUAUUAUUGUUACUAUUAUGUAUUUCUUUUACAUAGUGAGCAGCUGCCUCUUAAUUCAUACUAUUCAUAAAAAGAUGUACUGAACAGAAAAAGAUCCAGUUCUAUUUCACAUUGCAUUACUGUGACUAUAGUAAGAAGUUAAUCAAUAAAUAACCAUUACAUCACAAGGUGUAGGAAGAGGAAAGAUCUGAAUCUGUUUUCUAUUGUAUCAGUGUAGCAUUAAUAAGAAGUGAAUCGACAAGUAACCAUUUUAAGUGUACAUAUUCCACUUAUACACUUGGGCAUUGGUUGUCUCUAAGCUGCUCACUAACACAUGGGUUAUGGAUUGGACAAACAACACUUAAUAUUCAGGGUCACAAAGUUUUGGGUUGCUAGAAAUAAGUAUGUGUCGGCAAACUUUAAUGAUGAACAAUAGGGAUUUAAACAGACGUGGGUAAGAUUUGCUGGGUGUUGUGUGCAAACUUUAGUGAUGAAUAACAGGGAUUUAAACAGACAUAGGUAAGAUUUGCUAGGUGUUGUAUUUACAGUAUUAGAAUUGCUCUGGUGAAAUUUGUGUAUUGGGGUGUUGAUAAUAUUGAUGUUAGUUCAGAGAUAGGUAUGUGUUGAUAACGUUUAAGGAGGAAGAACUAGGAGUUAAACAGACAUGGGUAAGAUUUGCUGGGUGUUGUGUUUGCAGUAUUGCCUUUGUGUAGCUUAGGUGUUGUUGAGGUGUUGAUAAUAUUCAUGAUUACAAGGAAGCCCUGUACUUGUACUAUACUUUCCUGAUUACUAAUGUUAUCUUAUGUGUCUCACUUUUAUAUUAAUUUCAAUGGACAUUUUACUCUGUGGUGUUCUGACUAAUGUUUUUUAUAUUGUAUCUAAUUUUUAUGUUAACUUAAAUGGACUUAUUGUAUGUAAACUCUUUUGUGGUGUUUUACAUAGAGGUAAUCGCCGAGUUAAUUUCAAUGGACUUUUUUUUUUUCUUUAUACUGCUCAGUUUUUUUUUAUGUUAAUUUCAAUGGAGAUAUAUUGUAGCACUUGUUAGACACACAAGACUGUAAAGUGGAGUGAGUGAGGGAUGCCAGCGUGUUAAGUUGUGUGAAGCUCUUGUUCCGUCCAAUAGGUGUGCUAAAUGUUGGAAAGAAACAUUCCCCUCAUAAAGCUGCACAAUAAUCAAUCCGUCCAUUAUGAUGUUCAACUGUUACACUGUUAGACCAUUUUUUCCCAUAGUCUAUAACUUUUAAACAUUUAUACUACAGUCUCUUUAAUAAUGUAGCUUAUAGAAGACUAAGUUAACUUUUUAUUCUAUAUUUUUUUCUGUGCUCCAGCAAAGGUUAUUUUACAUUGCUGUGGAAAUACUAUCAUAGUACUGAAGGAUUAAAAUGGCAGAGUUGCUAUGGUCCUCUAAGAGAAUUGUAUGAAUAUUUAUCUCUGAAUGAAACUUACAUACUAUUAUAAGUAAGUUAAGAGACCAAUAACAACAUUCCACUUGAAAGUAUAAAUUCUUCUGUCUGUUAUGCUGUUUGGUCAUAUUUUUAGUUGACAGAAAGAAAUGUAUGAAUGAAUUUUACAGAAUAGUGUGUAAGAUCCCCAAAAAAUCCAUUCCACUAUUAAACUGCAAUUUAUCCAUCUCUUAUAUUGCUCAAAUUCGCCUUUAUUCCACUGAAAGAUAAAUACCUAUGAAUCUCACAGAAGAGAGAAAAAUCCACUUCAGUUUAAGAACUAUAAUCCAUCCAUCCAUUAUAAUAAAGAUUUUUGUCUCUCCUGGAAAGCAUGUGUUUGUAGGAAUGAAUCUCGUGAGAGUACAAGGGAGAAAAUAAUCAAUUCCACCCUUAAAAAAAUUGUAAUCUAUCUGUCCAUUAAUUUUACAUCUUGAAAAUAUAUUGAAUCUCAAAACAGAAACAUUGCAGCUAUGAACGUUAUUUUUGUACAAUCUACACUUCUAAUCCAUAAAAGCAAGUACUACAUAAAAAUCAAAACUACAAAUUCAGGCAUAUUUUGUACAACAUUUGCAACAGGAAGAAGAAGAGGAAGCAAGACUGAGAAGACUAAAAAAAUGGUGUUCUUAAAUAAAGCUUCCUGCUGCCUGAGGAUAAGUUGCUAGGGUGGGUGUUGUGAGGCGUAUGUAAGAUACAAAAAUAAACUGGUAAUGGGG
RNA transcript from Scylla paramamosain (green mud crab), 4117 nucleotides. RefSeq lists it as uncharacterized. NCBI's taxonomy places the organism in Eukaryota, Metazoa, Arthropoda, Malacostraca, Decapoda, Portunidae. The record is from RefSeq and is a predicted model, not a curated record. The transcript is spliced from 4 exons.